UAUCCUACGGGGCGCAGCAGUGAGGAAUAUUGGUCAAUGGGCGGGAGCCUGAACCAGCCAAGUCGCGUGAAGGAAGAAGGUACUUAGUAUUGUAAACUUCUUUUGUCGGGGAACAAAGGCGGAGACGCGUCUCCGGAUGAGUGUACCCGAAGAAAAAGCAUCGGCUAACUACGUGCCAGCAGCCGCGGUAAUACGUAGGUGGCAAGCGUUAUCCGGAUUUAUUGGGCGUAAAGGGAACGCAGGCGGUUCAAUAAGGCUGAUGUGAAAGCCUUCGGGUCAACCGGAGAAUUGCAUCAGAAACUGUU
Molecule: ribosomal RNA, 305 nt
Filed under: uncultured bacterium
Lineage: Bacteria
Description: bacterial SSU rRNA
Rfam family: Bacterial small subunit ribosomal RNA
Source: RNAcentral